This 301-nucleotide ribosomal RNA is filed under the name uncultured bacterium. RNAcentral describes it as "partial 16S ribosomal RNA". It matches the Rfam family "Bacterial small subunit ribosomal RNA", at positions 509 to 807 of the family's 1533-position model. The record is from RNAcentral.
CAGUAGCCGCGGUAAUACGGAGGGUGCAAGCGUUAAUCGGAAUUGCUGGGCGUAAAGCGCACGCAGGCGGUUUGUUAAGUCAGAUGUGAAAUCCCCGAGCUUAACUUGGGAACUGCAUUUGAAACUGGCAAGCUAGAGUCUUGUAGAGGGGGGUAGAAUUCCAGGUGUAGCGGUGAAAUGCGUAGAGAUCUGGAGGAAUACCGGUGGCGAAGGCGGCCCCCUGGACAAAGACUGACGCUCAGGCACGAAAGCGUGGGGAGCAAACAGGAUUAGAUACCCCGGUAGUCCCUGUCUCUUAUAC